AUUGAACGCUGGCGGCAGGCUUAACACAUGCAAGUCGAGCGAGCGGCGGACGGGUGAGUAAUGUCUGGGAACCUGCCUGAUGGAGGGGGAUAACUACUGGAACCGGUAGCUAAUACCGCAUACCAUCAGAUGUGCCCAGAUGGGAUUAGCUAGUUGGUGGGGUAAUGGCUCACAUAGGCGACGAUCCCUAGCUGGUCUGAGAGGAUGACCAUCCACACGGGAACUGAGACACGGUCCAGACUCCUACGGGAGGCAGCAGUGGGGAAUAUUGCACAAUGGGCGAAAGCCGGAUGCAGCCAUGCCGCGUGGGUGAUGAAGGCCUUCGGGUUGUAAAGCACUUUAAGCUAGGAGGCGUUACUCGCAGAAGAAGCACCGGCUAACUCCGUGCCAGCAGCCGCGGUAAGAC
This 406-nucleotide ribosomal RNA is filed under the name uncultured bacterium. RNAcentral describes it as "partial 16S ribosomal RNA". It matches the Rfam family "Bacterial small subunit ribosomal RNA", at positions 30 to 526 of the family's 1533-position model. The record is from RNAcentral.